This is a non-coding RNA of Dipodomys ordii (Ord's kangaroo rat), 72 nucleotides long. NCBI's taxonomy places the organism in Eukaryota, Metazoa, Chordata, Mammalia, Rodentia, Heteromyidae. The record is from Rfam.
GGGAAGCUGGCUCAGUGGUAGAGUGCUUGCCUUGCAUGCAUGAGGCCCUGGGUUCGACUCCUCAGCACCACA